Non-coding RNA from Gossypium raimondii (Peruvian cotton), 133 nucleotides. The record is from Rfam. NCBI's taxonomy places the organism in Eukaryota, Viridiplantae, Streptophyta, Magnoliopsida, Malvales, Malvaceae.
UAUUCAAAAUUUCAUCAAUUUAUAUUAUUAAAAUUGGCGUGGUUAACAAAAUAACAUGUGACGUGUCACGUGUACUUUAUAUUGAUAUACAUGGAUUAGUUUUUAACAAUGAAAAUGGAUGAAAUUUUUAACA